AGAGUUUGAUCAUGGCUCAGGAUGAACGCUAGCUACAGGCUUAACACAUGCAAGUCGAGGGGAAACGACAUCGAAAGCUUGCUUUUGAUGGGCGUCGACCGGCGCACGGGUGAGUAACGCGUAUCCAACCUGCCCACCACUUGGGGAUAACCUUGCGAAAGUAAGACUAAUACCCAAUGACGUCUCUAGAAGACAUCUGAAAAGAGAUUAAAGAUUUAUCGGUGAUGGAUGGGGAUGCGUCUGAUUAGCUUGUUGGCGGGGUAACGGCCGCCAAGGCUACGAUCAGUAGGGGUCUGAGAGGAAGGUCCCCCANAUUGGAACUGAGACACGGUCCAAACUCCUACGGGAGGCA
RNAcentral lists this ribosomal RNA (352 nucleotides) under uncultured bacterium. Its description in RNAcentral is "bacterial SSU rRNA". It matches the Rfam family "Bacterial small subunit ribosomal RNA", at positions 8 to 350 of the family's 1533-position model. The record is from RNAcentral.